GAUGAAGAACGUAGUGAAAUGCGAUAAGUAAUGUGAAUUGCAGAAUUCAGUGAAUCAUCGAAUCUUUGAACGCACAUUGCGCCCCCUGGUAUUCCGGGGGGCAUGCCUGUCCGAGCGUCAUUACAACCCUCAAGCUCAGCUUGGUGUUGGGCCCCGCCGCCCCGGCGGGCCCUAAAGUCAGUGGCGGUGCCGUCCGGCUCCGAGCGUAGUAAUUCUUCUCGCUCUGGAGGUCCGGUCGUGUGAUCGCCAGCAACCCCCAAUUUUUUUCAGGUUGACCUCGGAUCAGGUAGGGAUACCCGCUGAACUUAAGCAUAUCAAUAAGCGGAGGA
RNAcentral lists this unclassified non-coding RNA (329 nucleotides) under soil metagenome. RNAcentral describes it as "partial contains 5.8S ribosomal RNA, internal transcribed spacer 2, and large subunit ribosomal RNA". The stretch from base 1 to 120 matches the Rfam family "5.8S ribosomal RNA", at positions 35 to 154 of the family's 154-position model. The record is from RNAcentral.